GACGAACGCUGGCGGCGUGCUUAACACAUGCAAGUCGAACGGAAAGGCCCUGCUUUUGCGGGGUGCUCGAGUGGCGAACGGGUGAGUAACACGUGAGUAUCCCGCCCUUGACUUUGGGAUAUCUUCAGGAAACUGGGGCUAAUACCGGAUAGGAGCUCCUGCUGCAUGGUGGGGGUUGGAAAGUUUCGGCGGUUGUGGAUGGAUGGGCGGCUUACGAGCUUGUUGGUGGGGUAGGGGCUUACCAAGGCUUUGACGGAUAGGCGGCCUGGGAGGUGGGACGGCGACAAUAGGACUACGGGACGGCGCAGACUGCUACGGGAGGCAACGGGGGGAAAUAUUACACAGUGGGCGGGAGCCUGAUGCGACAGCGCCGCGUGCGGGAAGACGGCCUUCGGGGUGUGAACCGCUUUCGCCUGUGACGAAGCGUGAGUGACGGUAAUGGGUAAAGAAGCACCGGCUAACUACGUG
RNAcentral lists this ribosomal RNA (468 nucleotides) under uncultured bacterium. RNAcentral describes it as "partial 16S ribosomal RNA". It matches the Rfam family "Bacterial small subunit ribosomal RNA", at positions 28 to 507 of the family's 1533-position model. The record is from RNAcentral.